RNAcentral lists this ribosomal RNA (253 nucleotides) under uncultured bacterium. Its description in RNAcentral is "partial 16S ribosomal RNA". It matches the Rfam family "Bacterial small subunit ribosomal RNA", at positions 524 to 776 of the family's 1533-position model. The record is from RNAcentral.
UACGAGGGGGGCAAGCGUUGUUCGGAAUUAUUGGGCGUAAAGGGCGCGCAGGCGGCUCUGCAAGUCAGAUGUGAAAGCCCCGGGCUUAACCUGGGAAUUGCAUUUGAUACUCUGGAGCUUGAGUACGGGAGAGGAGAGUGGAAUUCCCAGUGUAGAGGUGAAAUUCGUAGAUAUUGGGAAGAACACCGGUGGCGAAGGCGGCUCUCUGGACCGUAACUGACGCUGAGGCGCGAAAGCGUGGGGAGCAAACAGG